UAAAGUGGCGUACGGGUGAGUAACACGUGGAUCAUCUACCCUCUUGUGGGGAAUACCGCUGGGAAACCGGCGACAAUACCGCAUAAGCUCGAGAGAGGAAAGCCGAAAGGCGCAGGAGGAGGAGUCCGCGGUCGAUUAGUUAGUUGGCAGGGUAAAGGCCUACCAAGACUGUGAUCGAUAGCCGGCCUGAGAGGGCACACGGCCACACUGGCACUGAAACACGGGCCAG
Molecule: ribosomal RNA, 229 nt
Filed under: uncultured bacterium
Lineage: Bacteria
Description: partial 16S ribosomal RNA
Rfam family: Bacterial small subunit ribosomal RNA
Source: RNAcentral